ACCAGUCAGGAACUCCAGCACCAAAAGAGACUGGAAGUAAACAUAGAAUUGGCCAUCUAUUCAUAUACUCAAAACGCUACAAUGCCCAAGCCAAUCCCAGGAUGAAGCCUGCUUGAAGUGCCUUACUUUGCAGCCGGAAAGGGACUCACUAGAUUUCAUCUUUACAGUUACAAAAUCAGAACACACCACAGUACCCACAAACUCAAGGCAAACUUUCCGCAUUGAUCAAGCAACAGACAUUUAAUUUGCAAGAAUGGCUCGUUCAUAUGUGGAAGAGAACAAAGAUAGUCACAAGUAUGUGAAUUCAUUGAGAGCCAACGGUAUAAUUCUUCAACUACUAGUAGCUACUACAAAAACAAUAAGCAUACAAACAAAUCAACAUCCUCCAUAACACCUGUGGCAAGUACCUCCAUCUAUUUUCAAACAACAAUAGUCUUCAAAAACUCUUCCAUUAAUGUACAAAAGAUUGUUGCAUAUUUAACCCAAACAUAAACCCCCUAAAAUCCAAUCCCUUAAGCCUUCUUUGGUGACUUUUUGGCCUUUGGUGUCGAAGCCUUCUCCUCGGAAGCAGUAGAUUUCUUGGGCAACAGAACUGGGUUAAUGUUGGGGAGAACACCUCCACUUGCAAUAGUAACACCAGCCAACAACUUUCCCAGCUCUUCAUCAUUCCUCACUGCCAACAGCAAAUGCCUUGGAAUAAUCCUCGUCUUCUUAUUGUCCCUCGCCGCAUUUCCAGCCAACUCCAACACCUAUGAACCCAAAAUAGCAAAAACAUUAGUUAAAAAGUUACAGAUCUGAGAAGAAAAUCAAAUGGGGUUUUUAGUUUAUGUAUUUCUAGUACCUCAGCAGCAAGGUAUUCAAGAACAACUGCGAGAUAAAUAGGAGCACCAGAUCCAACACGCUGAGCAUAACGACCCUUCUUCAAGUAACGAGCAAUACGACCAACUGGAAACUGAAGACCAGCUUUCACUGACCUAGCUACAGCCUUCUUCUUUGAGCCACCCUUCCUUCCUCCGGCACCUUUGGGUGUCGUAGUAGCAUCCAUUUCUGUCAACAACUAAAUGUUUUGAAGAGAAAAAUAGAGAAUAAGCUUUGAGUGGUUUUUGCCUUUGAGAUUUGAAAGCUGACGAAGAAAAUGGAACGGUGGAGUUUGACAUUUAUAGGAUAGAGAUGGAUUGCCACGCUGGCGAUCCGUGUGAGUGGUAUUGUUAUUUCACGGUGCGGAUUUGUUGUUUUAAUGUAAGAUCGGACGGGUACCAAAAGCUUCAGAUUUUUGUAAUUUUGACGCCAAUAUACUUGGGACUGAAUUUUUUUGGAGACACUACAAUUUGUUGAUUACAUUUCAUUUUAUAUGGUGAUUAAAAAAUUAUAAAUUAAAUAAUAAAUUUUAUCAUUUUAUAUUUUACUCAUAUUAAUUACUUCAACAACAUAUUCAAUGUUUUCCCAUAUAGUGGGAUCUGGGAGGGCAGAGUGUACGCAGAUCAUACCAUUUCCUUAGAUAAAAUAGAGAGGCCGUUUCCGAUAGACUCCCGGUUUAGGACCGAUAACAGUAUAACAAACAUCAAACAUAAAUACAUAUAAAUUAGUACAGUUUGUAAAAUAAACUAACGGCACUAGCCAUAAGAUAAUAUUACAACCACAGGAUAAUACUAAAAACUAUCUAUUCGAAAUCAUAGAUAUCACUCAAUACCAUGAACAAAAAAUUUCAGACACAAAUAAAGAACACUCCCCUACUUUUACCGACGCACUCCCACCCCCUAACUCUCUACCCCAAUUUGUGUUCUCCACAUCUUCCUAUCAAGGGUCAUAUACUUUGUAAAAUAUAACUGCUCCAUAUCAUACCUAAUCACCUCCCUCCAAUAUUUCUUCUAUCUACCUCUGUCCUGCCUAAAAUCAUCCAUAGCCAGUGUCUCACACCUCUGUACUAGAGCAUCAAAGCCCAUCUUCAUCACAUGCACGAACCAACGUAACCUUACUUCCGCAUCUUGUCUUCCACCGAGGUCACUCCCACCUUCUCCUGAAUAAUCUCAUUUCUUGCCCUAUCUUUCCUAGUUUCACCACACAUUUAUCGUAACAUCCUCAUCUCCGCCACCUUCAACUUUAGGAUAUGGAAGUUCUUAACUGGUCAACACUCCGUUCCAUACAAUAUAAACGGUCGGACUGUCACUCUCUAAAACUUUCCUUUAAUUUUCGGGGGCACCUUCCUAUCACAUAAAACUUUUGAAGCGAGCCUCUAUUUCAACCACUCAGCCCCAAUACGAUGCAUGACAUCCUUGUCAAUCUCAACAUUACCCUGAAUCAUAGACCUCAAAUACUUGAAACUCUCCUUCUUCUGAAUGGGCUAAGAGUUCAACUUCACAACCACGUCAGCCUCUUGUGACACAUCACUAGACUUACACUCCAAGUACUCUGUCUUGGUCUUGUUUAACCGAAAUCCUUUAGACUCAAAGGUCUGUCUCCAAAUCAUCAACUUAUCAUUAAUUUCUUCCCGAGUCUCGUUAAUCAAUACCACACUAUCAGCAAAUAACAUACACCAAGGCACCUCCCCUUUAAUAUGUCGCGUCAAAAUUUUCAUCACCAUAGCAAAUAAAAAGGGGUAAGAGUCGAUCCCUGAUGCAACCCUGUCAAAAUCGAAAAGUGCUCUGAAUCUCACCUACCGUCCUUACCCGAGUCUUUGCGCCUUCAUACAUAUCCUGAAUCGAUCCAGUGUAUGCCACAAGUACCCCUUUAACCUCCAAGCACCUCCACAGAAUCUCCCUGGGAAUUUUGUCAUAAGCCUUUCCAAGAUCAAUAAACAUCAUGUGCAAGUCCUUCUUCCUCUCCCGAAACUGCUCCACUAAUCUCCUCACAAGAUGAAUGGCCUCAGUAGUCUAGUAACCUGGCAUGAAACCAAAUUGGUUUUCAGAGAUAGUCACGCUCCUUCUCAACCUCAACUCUACCAUCUUUUCUCAAACCUUCAUAAUAUUACUCAACAACUUAAUACCUCUAUAGUUGUUGUAACUCUGAAUGUCUCUUUUGUUCUUAUAUAAUGGAAUCAUUGUACUCUACCUCCAUGCUUCAAGCAUCUUCACCGCCCUAAAAAUGAUGUUAAACAACCCUGGUAACCACUCCAAACCUGCCCCUCUAGUGUUCUUCCAAAAAUCCACUAGAAUCUCGUCUGGCCCUAUUGCUCUACCCCGACGUAUCUUGCGAAUAAACCCCUUGACCUCCUCAACCUCGAUACUCCUACAAUAACCAUAGUCGCAACACUCCUCAGAUUUCUCCAAGUCCCCCGACACGAAACCUUUGUCCCCCUUAUCGUUCAAAAGUUUAUGAAAGUAAGACUGUCACAUCUUCCUAAUGAGGGCAUCCUCAACUAACAUAGUACCAUCCACGCCCUUGAUGCACCUCUCUUUGUCAAAGUCACGAGCCCUUCGCUCCCUAGCCUUGGCAAGCCUAUACAAUUUUUUAUAUUAUAAUUGUUCAUAUUUAAUAUAUAUUAUUAAUUAUAGGGGUAAAUAUAAACAAAUUAACUAAUUUUGUCCUGAUUUAGGAAGUAAUCAACUACUCCCUCUGUUUCAUAUUAUGUGGUCCUUAUAAACUUGACACACCCAUUAAGAAAUCAAUAAAUAGAGAUUUGUUUUAUAUAUCUACCCUUAUAUGCCUUUUAAAGUGCAAUAGCUAAUGCAACAAUUAAAUAAUGAAAUUUGAACAUAUUACUCCAUCCUAUGCAUUACGCCUAGAACGUUGAAUAUUUAUAAUUGAAACUAGUAAUAAUCAUUUAAUGGGCGUUUGGUCAUGAAAAUUAAAACUUUUGAAGUUAAAUUUAGAGUUGAAGUUGGAAUUGAAGUUGGAGUUGCAAUUGUGUUUUUCAUGAAUAUAGUUGGAGUUGUUUUUGAAUUUUGUUGAGAGAGGGAUAUGGAAAAAAAUGAAAACAACUUUUUCUUGUUUUCCACUUUUUCAAAUCCAACUCAAGUUGUGUUUGAAAUUUUCAUGGCCAAACAUCAACUUGGAGUUGGAUUUGACAUAAAGUGAAUUUUUAUUUUUAUUUUUGAAAAAGUGAAAAAAUAUAAUGGUCAAACAGGCCCUUAAUUUUGGUUUGAGAAUUAAGAUCACUUAUGCACCAUUCAAUAAUUUUGAAAACUUUGAAUGUAUUUAAUACUCCUACCAAGUUAAGAAAGCCAACUAAUAUAAAUUGGAGUGAGUAAUAUGGGACAUUUAUUUUUGGCAGAAUACAUCGACACACCUCUUAACUUGACAUUAUUUUUUACUUUGGCACUUCAACUGAGUGGUGUCCAUUUUUAACACCUUAAGUAGUCAUCAACUGUGUCACUUUGACACAUUUUGCUGAUUUGACACAUCGUGUAUAUUGCACACACUUUGAGCGCGUGAAUAGCUUAAAAACUAUACUAAUUUUUAGUUUUCUUCUUCUUCUUUCUUUUGAUCUUCUUCAACACUUUUCUCCAUUUUUAUUCACCAACCACUCAACCCAACCACGAUUUCUUCCUUAAUGAUAGUCAAAAAUGGAGAAAAAUUAAUCUACCAUCACCUUCUUCUUUCAAUUUCUAUAAAUUCAUAAUUUUCAAUCUCUCAUUUUAGCUCAAUUUCUGCCUCAAUUUUAAGUUCAUUUAAUGAUGAAAAGUUUUGAAAUAGAGUUAGAGUUAACAUGAAAGAAUGAAUAGUGUCAAAUGCAAUUAGAUUGUGAAAAUUUCCACCAAUUUGAAAUCUCAAUAAAUUUUUAACAAUUUUUUUGGUGAUGAAUUCUUAACAGUUUUUUCUUUUUUCAAAAGAUGAUUGUGUAGUAGGAGGUAAUUGAAGAGAAGGUUUUAGAUGUGGGGAUGGGUAGGCAGAGGAGGUGAAACGGUGGUAGUAAUUGGAGAAGACUACCAAGGGGUAGGGAAGUGGGUGGGGUGGGGGUGGGGGUGGAUGAGGUGGAGAAGACAAAUUUGGUGAGGGUGGGGUAAUUAUAAUCUAUUUUUUUAUAAUUAUUUGGGUUAAAAAGUGUCAAGUGUCAAUAUUUAAUUGAAAUUUUUUUAUUUUAAUUAAAAUUAGUUGUUUAAAAAUUAAGUUGGAGAGAAAUGACAAAUGUCCGCAUUUUAUUCGUCAAUUUUAAUGUCAUUAGCGCAAAUAGCACACAUGUGGAGUAUUUUUUUGCUGGUUAUGAAAAAAGUGCUGAAAUGACACACUUGAGACUGCUUUAGUUGCUAAAAAUGUGCACCGUCCCCUUGAAGUGCCAAAGUGAAAGAUGGUGUCAAGUUAAGGGGCCUGCCGAUGUAUUCCGCAUUUAUUUUUAGUAAGAUGAUUAACUAAAAUGGGACGAAGGGAAUAGCAUAUAUGCUAAAAAAUUUAUCUCAAAAUUGUUGCUAAAACAUUGUUUCAAUAUAGUUAGAUUGUUUUAAAGAUCAACAGAUAAUUAACUAUUUCCCCCGUCUUAUAUUAGUUGUUGGCUAUUUUCUUUUAGUGGCGGAUCCAAGAUUUAAGGAUAGUGGGUACUUUUAAAAACUGAAAAAGUAAAAAACCAACUCAAUGAGGUUUGAAUCCGAGGCCUCCUUCCAAUGGGUGCUUUCAUAUGGUUUAUACCUAUUUUCAUAUAUUUUCUAUGUAAUUAUACUUAUUCCAUAUCGAGUUUAGUGGUGCUGCAGCACCCCCAAAAUCCUACAUAGGUCCGCCCCUGUUUUCUUUUUUAUACGCUUAUUAAGAAAUGAUAAAUAAAUAAAUUAAAAAGGCAUUUUUUACCAAUUCACCUUAAAAAACUUUUUAAAAACUUUACAAGUAAGUGUGAACACUUUAAAAAAAAAAAAAAUUGUUAGGAUAAUAUGAAAAAAUUUAAUUAAUGUUUUGUUGAUUUAGAAUCAUGGACAACUAAUAUACAACAACCAUUUUAGUAAUAUGAUCAACUAAUAUAGGACAAUUAUUUUAGUAAGAUGACCAAUUAAUAUGGAACAAAGAGAGUAUUUUUUGUUCAACUAUACCCUUAGAAAUUAAUUUUUAGAUUAAUUGAACAAGAUUCAAGUAAUCAAGAUUAAACAGAUAAUAUAGUCAUAUUACUCAAUCUAAAUCCCUUAUUAAUUUUUCUUAAGAGUUGUUCAAAUCUAUACAUGCCAACUAUCUUGAGACGAGAAGAGUAGUUGGAGAUUUUUGUCAAUAUACUUCGUGGACUCUGGUGUUUUGCCAUGCAGAUGUUCUACCAAAGUAUUUCAGCACUGAAUGGUUUUUGGACUGUGGCGCAGUCCCGCUUGCAAGAAGGUCUGCAGCACAUUGUGGCCUUUGGUCACCAAAAGAGUACGGUUGUGAUUCUUGGCAUGGAUGGCAGGUAAUUUUGUUAACAUAAGUACCUUUGGGAAGAAUCCUGGUGCGAGUGUGUCGCUUUGUAGUCUUUGUUUCUUUUUUCCAACAUUGUCCCAACUUUCGUGACAAGUGAAUUACAUCUUUGGAAUUGAACUACUAAUGCUUUGGUGCAUUGGAAAUGCAGUUUCUACCGAUGCCUGUUUGGUGCAGCAACUGGUGGGGAGAUGACCCUGUUCGAAUAUCAAUCUUGUUGCGUGCAUGUAACAGUUCCUUUUUCUAUUCACUGCCCUACUUCUGUGGCUUUUGUUUUUGCUGUAUCUAUUUAUGAAUUUGCAGGGGAACAUGGUAGUGACUGUAAAUAUGCUGGCUGUAUAGGUUGUUGGGUUCAUAGAAGUGUGAAUGAGAAAUAGAGAAGAAAUGGUGGAGGAAAAGGAGACACCAAAAUUGGAAAGUGUACUCCUAAUUUGGAAAGCUUACUCUUUCUCGCACAUUGGUGGAAGAAGAGAAUUUUUUAGUGCUUAUAUUGUGAAACACUUACUCCACAUGGUAAGUGAGGCAAGGAAAUAGAGAUGCCUCGCACCGUCGUCGCUCGCUUGGAUUUGAAUUUGGCAAAUGAUCGAUCGAUGAGAUCUAUCUUUUUGGAUAAAUUUUAUUUGACAAAAUCUGAACAAUGAUGAAAAACGCAGGAAAAUAUUUCUGAGUUUUAAUCCUUCAUUUACAUGCAGUAACAGUGACGCGAUGCUACUAUUUUAUGUGAACAGCAACACAGAACAGUUGCACUGCUUCGGAAAUGUUGCAUUGCUUCAGAACUGGUGCACUGUUUUAUGUUACUUAUUGCAUUGCUUCAGAACUGGUGCACUGUUUUAUGUUACUUAACUGAAAUGAUGCACUGGUUGAAUAAACAGAUGCAACCAUUCAGCAAAAGACACACUGAUUCAUCGAAAGAUAUAACUGUUCAGGAAAGGAUGCAAUCUUUGAUAAACAGACAUGAAUUUACAGCAAAGGUGCAACCUUUGGAGUGAACCAUUGCCUCCUUUCUAAAGCGGCAUCUUGUGGCUAUAAAUAACCUGGUUUUUAUCCACAGGUUAGAGAUAGAAAAUACAGAAAUUUUUAGAUUACAAAACAUUCUUAUUGUCUUAAAAAAUACUCCAAGUGUGAUCAUUCAAACCGUGAUUGUGUUCGAAGAAUCCGCCUAUUUAAGGUACCGCUAUAAUCGGAUUUAAGGUCAUUUUAUCCUGGAAGGAAGAUUCCAUAACCUCGGGUACAGUGAGGAGUAUUAAUCCUUAAGGAAAGUCCGUGAACUCGGACGAUUUGGCCUUAAUCAUUUCUGUUUCAUCUUUAUUUUCUGAAAAAUAAAUACACCUCUUGGAAAGGUCUUUUUGAUCUUGUGUUGAGGGUGUUUAAUACUUCAUUGUGUUCUUGUUCAUACUUGAACUCAAGUUGAAGUUGUUGUUCUGUGAUACAGAUUCUACAUACUCGUAUUGUGGAAAAUAACAUAGGUUACUGCUGUGUAUAAUGCCAGAUAACAAAAUCGCUAUGGACGUGUCUGUCAUCUUAGUGCUUGAAGUAUCUACUUAGUUUUGCUUGGGAACUAAACAAGUUGCUGCUUAAAGCCUGUCAAUUAUAUAAAGUUUUCAAUUUUAUACGUCUCAACUAUAGUCAACCUUCAGUCUUUCUAGUCCACAAUCCUGGAGAAAAGAUGCAAGCACUAAAAUAAAUGAACAAAUAGGAAAACUUUACAUUUUAGCUGGUCCGCAAGGUGCUCUAUACCACCAAAAGGCAUCUCAUGAAAUUCAAUGACGAUGUCGCUGGAAUAGUUCAACAAGAACCCCCUGUCUCCACACAAAGGAUUUACUCCUACAGACAAACGAACUGAAGGAGAGCUACUAAGGGGACUAUGUCUUAGCAUAUUUAUUUCAUUAAUCUGUACUCUAAAUAGCACAUCUACAGCAAAACAAAGGUAUUGCUGGCACUAAAUUGAAACACUAGACGUUCUGUGCUACAUACUUGCACAUUUCCAUAUCAGAUACAAAGAAGCAUAUGAAUCCCAUUUUAUAUAGGUAGUAAAUGGUAUUCCUCAUCUAAUAUGUAUGUAAAGCUACUUACAUCGUUCCUCAUAUUAAGAGUGAAAUGGCAUCUAAUUUUGAAGAUAAAGAAAAGGAUAAAAAAAAAUUGAAAAAAACAUUGAUUUUGCUCAUGAAUGGUUUGGUGUGAAAGCAAAAGAGAUGUUUCCACAGUUGCAUUGGAAGUGAAAUCUUUUCCAGAUGAGGAAAAAGAUAAACUUGCACCCUCUCCAUAAUGCUGUGAUAAAUCAAGAGAAAGUGCACACUUCCUUUAUCUUAAUUGAAACACAUUCAUGUUAAGAAAAGAUGGACCCAACACUGUAAUCAAAUGAGAUUGUGGCUGCACGAAAUGAGAAGUUCUUUCUAGUCAUUUCCCGUAAGAAAGUUUUACUAAAUUUGUAGCCUUUGAGAAAUCAAUGCACAAUAAUAUUGUAAGUUGUGUUGUCUGACAAGCAAACAUUUGUCACCAUUUCUUUUAGCAUAUCUGCAUACGCAUAGUUGUGCACCAGUCAGGGACUCCAGUACCAAAGGAGACUGGAAGGAAACAUCAAUAUGACCAUCUGCUCAUAUACUCAAAACACUACAAUGCCUAAGCCAAUCCCAGGAUGCAGCUUGCUUGAUGUGCCUUAUUUUGCAGCUGGAAGUGGACUCACUAGAUUUCAUCUUUACAGUUACAAAAUCAGAACAUAAUCAAAACAGACCAUAGUACCCACAAACACAAGGCAAACUUUCAAAACUUACUGCAAUAAUCAACCAACAGACGUCAAAUUUCAAAGAUUGGCACAUUCAUAUGUGAAAGAGAACAAGGAUAGUCACAAGCAUGUGAAUUGAUUGAGAGCCAGCGGUAUAAUUCUUCAAAUACUACUAGUUACUACAAAAACAAUCAGCAUACAAACAAGUUAACAUACUCCUUCACACCUAUGGAAAGUACCGCAACAAAAUUAUACAAUGAAAGAGCAAUUCCUCGAGAGUUAUCCUGCAGUCUUCAAAAACUAUACAAUUAUUGUAUCCUUCACACCUAUGGAAAGUACCGCAACAAAACUAUACAAUGAAAGAGCAAUUCCUCAAGGUUUAUCCUGCAGUCUUCAAAAACUAUACAAUUAUUGUACUAAAUGAAACAACAAAUCCACAUGUUCAAAAUGCUGUGAUAAAUCAAGAGAAAGUGCACACUUCCUUUAUCUUAAUUGAAACACAUUCAUGUUAAGAAAAGAUGGACCCAACACUGUAAUCAAAUGAGAUUGUGGCUGCACGAAAUGAGAAGUUCUUUCUAGUCAUUUCCCGUAAGAAAGUUUUACUAAAUUUGUAGCCUUUGAGAAAUCAAUGCACAAUAAUAUUGUAAGUUGUGUUGUCUGACAAGCAAACAUUUGUCACCAUUUCUUUUAGCAUAUCUGCAUACGCAUAGUUGUGCACCAGUCAGGGACUCCAGUACCAAAGGAGACUGGAAGGAAACAUCAAUAUGACCAUCUGCUCAUAUACUCAAAACACUACAAUGCCUAAGCCAAUCCCAGGAUGCAGCUUGCUUGAUGUGCCUUAUUUUGCAGCUGGAAGUGGACUCACUAGAUUUCAUCUUUACAGUUACAAAAUCAGAACAUAAUCAAAACAGACCAUAGUACCCACAAACACAAGGCAAACUUUCAAAACUUACUGCAAUAAUCAACCAACAGACGUCAAAUUUCAAAGAUUGGCACAUUCAUAUGUGAAAGAGAACAAGGAUAGUCACAAGCAUGUGAAUUGAUUGAGAGCCAGCGGUAUAAUUCUUCAAAUACUACUAGUUACUACAAAAACAAUCAGCAUACAAACAAGUUAACAUACUCCUUCACACCUAUGGAAAGUACCGCAACAAAACUAUACAAUGAAAGAGCAAUUCCUUGAGGUUUAUCCUGCAGUCUUCAAAAACUAUACAAUUAUUGUAUCCUUCACACCUAUGGAAAGUACCGCAACAAAACUAUACAAUGAAAGAGCAAUUCCUCGAGGUUUAUCCUGCAGUCUUCAAAAACUAUACAAUUAUUGUACUAAAUGAAACAGCAAACCCACAUGUUCAAAAUCAACCAACAGACGUCAAAUUUCAAAGAUUGGCACAUUCAUAUGUGAAAGAGAACAAGGAUAGUCACAAGCAUGUGAAUUGAUUGAGAGCCAGCGGUAUAAUUCUUCAAAUACUACUAGUUACUACAAAAACAAUCAGCAUACAAACAAGUUAACAUACUCCUUCACACCUAUGGAAAGUACCGCAACAAAACUAUACAAUGAAAGAGCAAUUCCUCGAGAGUUAUCCUGCAGUCUUCAAAAACUAUACAAUUAUUGUACUAAAUGAAACAGCAAACCCACAUGUUCAAAAUCAACCAACAGACGUCAAAUUUCAAAGAUUGGCACAUUCAUAUGUGAAAGAGAACAAGGAUAGUCACAAGCAUGUGAAUUGAUUGAGAGCCAGCGGUAUAAUUCUUCAAAUACUACUAGUUACUACAAAAACAAUCAGCAUACAAACAAGUUAACAUACUCCUUCACACCUAUGGAAAGUACCGCAACAAAACUAUACAAUGAAAGAGCAAUUCCUCGAGAGUUAUCCUGCAGUCUUCAAAAACUAUACAAUUAUUGUAUCCUUCACACCUAUGGAAAGUACCGCAACAAAACUAUACAAUGAAAGAGCAAUUCCUCGAGGUUUAUCCUGCAGUCUUCAAAAACUAUACAAUUAUUGUAUCCUUCACACCUAUGGAAAGUACCGCAACAAAACUAUACAAUGAAAGAGCAAUUCCUCGAGGUUUAUCCUGCAGUCUUCAAAAACUAUACAAUUAUUGUAUCCUUCACACCUAUGGAAAGUACCGCAACAAAACUAUACAAUGAAAGAGCAAUUCCUCGAGGUUUAUCCUGCAGUCUUCAAAAACUAUACAAUUAUUGUAUCCUUCACACCUAUGGAAAGUACCGCAACAAAACUAUACAAUGAAAGAGCAAUUCCUCGAGGUUUAUCCUGCAGUCUUCAAAAACUAUACAAUUAUUGUACUAAAUGAAACAGCAAACCCACAUGUUCAAAAUCAACCAACAGACGUCAAAUUUCAAAGAUUGGCACAUUCAUAUGUGAAAGAGAACAAGGAUAGUCACAAGCAUGUGAAUUGAUUGAGAGCCAGCGGUAUAAUUCUUCAAAUACUACUAGUUACUACCAAAAAAUAAAUAAAAUAAAAAUAAAAAUAAAAACAAACAGCCUACUUCACCAAAAACUAAAUAAGGCACACAAGUCAGCUUUCUAUAACAUAAGACAGGAAAUAAUUACUUAGAGCCUGCAAGGGAUUUCAGUUAACAACACUACCGGACCACUGAAUUUAUAUAAACAACUUAAAUCAAGAAAACCAACAAUAUUUGCACAAGUUAUCCUAUUAGCAUCUGUCACGGUUCCAAGUUCAAUCUUCUUCCAUCUAUAACACCCAAAAAGCUGCAGAAGAAACUAAUAUUUAUGCCAAAGUUUAUAAGCUAUCAUAAGUUCAAAAGCAUACCCACUGAAACAAACUUGUUACCAAAACCAACAGCUGAAAAACUAAAAGAAACAUGCCCUGAUCUAUACUUUACAACAAUUACCAAAAUUUGAGAAUACUUGAUGAAUGCAAUACAUUUUAAAGUGGUGCCAAUUACACAAAAUAAUCUCACAGCUUUUUUACUUAUCAAAUUGAGAUAAUAAGAUAAGACAAUGAAUAACCCAAGAGGCCAAAUUUAGACAAUAAGAUUAGAAAAUGAGAUACUUUCUAUGAUAUUUCCAAGCACAUUACACCAAGGUUAUCAAAACAUAACAGAAACCUACAUCCUACUGCUAGAAAUUCCCAUAAAACUAGACAAAAGAUUACUGCAUAUUUAACCCAUACAUAAAACUGCCAAAUCUAUUAGGCCUUCUUUGGUGACUUGGUGGCUCUGGGCGUCGAUGCUUUCUCCUCGGAAGCAGUAGAUUUCUUAGGCAACAGAACUGGGUUAAUGUUGGGGAGAACACCUCCACUUGCAAUGGUAACCCCAGCCAACAAUUUUCCCAGCUCUUCAUCAUUCCUCACUGCCAACAGCAAAUGCCUUGGAAUAAUCCUCGUUUUCUUGUUGUCUCUUGCUGCAUUUCCAGCCAACUCCAACACCUAUUAAAUAAAAUGAAUAGAUUAUUAUAAAAAUCAAUAGAAAAUUACAGAUCUGAGAUAAUUUAUUGGGUUUAUUAUACCUCAGCAGCGAGGUAUUCAAGAACAGCAGCGAGGUAAAUAGGAGCACCAGAUCCAACACGCUGAGCAUAACGACCUUUCUUCAAGAAACGAGCAAUACGACCAACUGGGAACUGAAGACCAGCUUUCACAGACUUAGUUACAGCCUUCUUCCUUGGGCCACCCUUCCUUCCUGCUGCACCUUUGGUUUGCUUAGCAGCAUCCAUUUCGACAAACAAACAAUAAGAUUUGAAGAGAGAAAAUUGCUUCUAGUGAUUUCCGCUUUGAGAAUUGAAUGCUGAUGAAGAAAAUGAAACGGUGGAGUUUGGUAUUUAUAGGAUAGAGAUGGAUUGCCACGCUGGCGAUCCGCGUGAGUGGUAUUGUUCUUUGACGGUGUGGAUUUGUUGUUUUCAUGUUAGAUCGUACGGUUAGGAAAAGCUUAAAAGAUGGCGAUCCGUGGUUAAGGGAAACAGCGAAUGAUUUUGUGACACGCGUAUAUGUUUGGUGAAUUGCAGUAAGAGGUGAAUCGUGCGCGGGGAAUUUGAAUUUUACUAAAUUUAUUUUUUGCGCCUAUUUGUGAAAACUUUCUUAGCAAGAGAAAUAAAUGGGAUAAUUAUUUUUAUUCCUAAUUAAGUGCUAUUUAUAAUUUACCCGUCAAUCUCAAUAUCUCAUAUACAGUCAUUAACGAUUUUGCUCUUGGUUAUUAAAGACCCUAGCUCCUAAACUUUAUUAAUACUAUAACUAAAUUGUGAUUUUGACACCCAUCAACAUAAAAUUUGCAUGAAUAUAAAAUGAUCCUACUCACUAGUUUUUUUCCAUUUUUUAACUAAAUAAAAUUCUUACAAAAUAGCCAAGUAAAUCUUUUUUUAUGUUGAUAAGAAUUAGAGCAUAAAAGGGAUUUUGUCUAAUUUGGAUGCUUAUUUAGGAGGUGUCAAAAAGACUUAUCAGUAAUUUGAGAUCUUAAUAAAAUGAUUAUAUAAUUUAUUCAAUAUUAGGUAUAAAUAUAAAUCAAUGUUAUUAAACCUUACAGGGAGAAUUCAGAUAACUUAAGCAUUUCAUAAAGGCAUAAUAUUAUCAUCAAGUGAUAGAGAUAUAAAGGCAACACAAUGCACUAAACUUCUCAUUGUGUGCGAGGUUAACACAGAAAAUCUUAAAAUAGUAAAAUGUCAUAAUUGAGAUCGGAACUUGUGAUGGAUCUGUUUGGCACUUUUUGUCAUGUCAUAGGUAUAAAUUUCAUAUACUCGAACUUCAACUUGCAAGAUAUCGCUAUUUGAUUUAGACCACUUCAAAUCUCCUCGCCUUGACAACCUAUCACAGUAGAAUAAAUGAAUAUCUAGACAGUAGGGGUGUGCAAAAACCAAAUUGACCGAUAAAAAUGCUAUUGGGUUAUUGGUUAAACCGAUAAUCUAAUAAGGAUACAUUAAGUUAUUGUUUUACCCCUAUUUAUGUUAUAUAUAUAUAUAUAUAUAUAUAUAUGGAGUCUAAUACUUCUAACCAUGUUUGGAAAAUUCCGUUAGUUUUUCAAAGUUUGAAGUAUUUAGUAGCUUCCGACAAUUAGGAUUCAUUUUUUUUUUCGAACCAACAUUCAGUUCAAGUUUGAAGAUUCUUGUAAACUAAAAUGCAUUGCGUAGGAUUUUGGCGGUAACUAAGAUUUCAUUUUUUUGAUAUUGGUUGUUACUAUUUCUAUUUUAAAUGUAUUUUCUUAUUGGUUAAACCAAAAAUCGAACCGUUAAAGACUAAAAAUCAAUGAACCGAAAACUGAUAAGAAAAUAUCUUAUUGGUUGGUUAUUGGUUUUACAAAUUGAAAAACCGAUAAAUCAAACUAAUAACAUGUAAAACCGAACCGACCAAUGCACGCCCCUACUAACCAAGUACUUCUUUUAACAUCUCGUAUUACAUUGUUAAUUUUGUGGUAUGUAUCAAUAGAGACGCAAUAUGUAAGGAUAACUUUAAUAUGACUUUUAUCUUAUUUCUCUUUUUCUUUAUGCUCUUACUUAUUUGAUGUUUCCUCCCUUUUAAUUCAAGUAUCUAAUCAUUGCGUAGGAUUUUGGCGGUAACUAAGAUUUCAUUUUUUUGAUAUUGGUUGUUACUAUUUCUAUUUUAAAUGUAUUUUCUUAUUGGUUAAACCAAAAAUCGAACCGUUAAAGACUAAAAAUCAAUGAACCGAAAACUGAUAAGAAAAUAUCUUAUUGGUUGGUUAUUGGUUUUACAAAUUGAAAAACCGAUAAAUCAAACUAAUAACAUGUAAAACCGAACCGACCAAUGCACGCCCCUACUAACCAAGUACUUCUUUUAACAUCUCGUAUUACAUUGUUAAUUUUGUGGUAUGUAUCAAUAGAGACGCAAUAUGUAAGGAUAACUUUAAUAUGACUUUUAUCUUAUUUCUCUUUUUCUUUAUGCUCUUACUUAUUUGAUGUUUCCUCCCUUUUAAUUCAAGUAUCUAAUUUAUAUUUAUUUAUUUUGUUUGUUUUCUAAAAAAAAUGUAUAUUUAGUAAUAUUUUAAUUUUAAUAUUUUAUAUGAUUUAUUUAAAAUCAUAAGAUUCAAAAAGAUCUUUUGAUCCAUUACAUAUAUCUUUGAUUAAAACUAAAAGGAAUAGAAAAACUCCCUUAUUUUCUCAAUUCAUGUAUCUAGCCAGACAUCACACUUGAAUUACAGUUAAAAUAAUACGUAGUUUAUGAUCUUUUAAACCUUCUAUCCUAUUUUUCUAGUUAACUCCAACAUUAGGUAUUCGUCGGUUAUAAAUGGUUAAUGUUAAUAAUUGAUGGUAGUGGUUGAAGAAUGUAUGGUAGUUGAGGGUAAUAAUAGUUGUAAUCAUAGAGGUGGUUGGGUGUUAGUUGAUAAUGGUGGUGAGGUGGCAGCAACGACAUUGACAUUGGUGGUGUUGGCUAAAGAAAAUACGGUGGUAGACGAUGUAUUUAUGGUAGUUAACCGCAAUUCUAAUUGUGAUAAUGGGGUGGCUAAUUGUAGGGAUUGAUCAUAAUAAUGACGGUGGCUGAUAGCGAUAGCAACAGUGAGAACGACAAUAUAUAUCGUUAUAAUGAUAGAGGUAGUAAGCAUUGUAGCAGCUAUUGACAAUGAUAUUUGCAUGUGGUGGUACUUGUCUGUGGUAGUUGUGCUGGCGGAGGUUGCCGAUUUGUGGUGGUGUCUCAAUGAUGAAAAUUGUGGUUGACAGUAGUAGUAGCUAAUAAUUAUGGUAAGAGUGGUGAUAAAAAAUAUCAAUAUAAAAAUACUUUUUGAUGAUAUUAAGACCUAUUAAGGGUUGAAUCUAAGUGAAUUGAAUGCAUCAUUAAUAAAUGUACUCAAUGAUCUAAUAUAUGGAUGACUCAAAUUCAGACAUUCAUUAAGUGAAAACAAAUACAAGUAACUUAAAUCUCAACAAAAACAAAUAUAUAGUAGCUCAAAUUCAACUCAUCAAGUGCAAAUAUAUUGGGUGAUCAUGGUUUGGUUUUUAAUUAAUAUCAAAUUGAAACCAAUUUAGUCAAUUUUUAAAUUUCUAAAACUGCGUCGAACUUUAAUAAAAUAAAAUCUUUGAUUUGGUUGUUGUUGGUUUUGUUCGAUUUUCAAUUUAGCUAAUGAUAAAUUGAUAAUACUAAACCAACAGAGAAAUGAGAUGGCUCUUUCAAAUGAACAUUAGGACUCAACAACAUUCUCUCUAACAUCACAAGUUAAAUGUGUUCAAAUCUUUUCUUAGUUUUCAAUAGUAUUUUAAAACUUUAACAUGUUUAAGUUGUAUAACUAUAGAUGUUUUCCCAUUUCACAUGUCUAACAUCCACUAAAUGUACAAUUUUAAAUAAAAUGAUCAAGCCGUAAAAAAACAAAGGGGCAAGCUGCUGGAGAUGGAUAUUUUUAGCAAAUAAAAAUAAAAAUCAUUAAUACACCACACCACACCACAUAUAUACAUUUGGACUUAGACUACAUUUAUUUUUAUUAAGAUCAAGACGUCUGAAUCUGAAUGUAUAUCUGAAUAAUUAAGAUUUUUGUCUCUAAAUUUGAAAUUGAAUGAUUAAAACUGUUUAUCUUUUCAAUAUUUGAAUAUGCAUAGCUUAUUUAUUUGUAAACAUAAUAAAUAUAUAAUUUAAUUAAUUAAUUAGUCAAAUCUUAAAAAAAUAUCAAUCUAAUAAAGUGUAAUAAUUAUUUAAUAAAAAAAUUAUAUUUGCCAGUGACGAUGGAGAUGAUUUGUAAUGACAAUGGUGGUCAUAAUAGUUGGUGUUAGUGGAUAAAAGUGGUGGUGAUAAUAGUUAUGGUGGUGAAACUGGCUAGUUUUUGUAGUGACUGUCGUAUAUGAUAGCAUUUGAUAGUGAUGGGGUGGUUGUGAUGUGAAGUUGAUUGAUGUUAGUAGUUGGAGAUGUUGAUAGUGGUGGUUGACAUAUGUAUGUAUGAUGAUUGACAAUGUUCCAAUGGUAAUUGGAGACCCUGUUAGUGGUUGAUAAUUAUGGUAAAGGUAGUGACACCAAUGACAAUAAUGAUGAUAGUGGGCUGAUUUUGGUGUAUUUAUACGCCUAAGCACCAUAACUUAUCCAUAUUUUAGCUAAGUUUAGAGAACAAAGUGCGUAGUUUCUUAUGUUUUUACUCUACUUCUAUGUAAUUGAGCUAACUGAUGUGAUUAGCAUGAUUUCAAGUAUUAAUGAGGUAGAUGAAGACAUAAUGGGACUAUGAAAUGCGGAUGACAUAUGACACAAGAGAGAGUAGCAAUCUGGACCAAAUGUGGCACCUAGAAACUAUGUCCAAGACUAAUUUAUCAUUUAUAAUUAGUUCAGGCACUUAGAAGGAAAUUAUGAGAGAAGAGAUUAUUAAAAGACUUAAUUGUUGAAUUUUUAUUCACAAUUCAUUAUUCUGUAUUAUUCUGAGAGAGGAGAAAGACGGCUUAGCUUGAGGAAAGAGAGAGAAAUAUUUUUCUCUCUUAUUUUUACUAUUCGCACACCAAGAUCGUCUUCUAAUUUUUGGUAUGAUGAAUAUAUUUAUGAUGCUUUUCGUUUUAUUCAUGAGUAACUAAGUUUAUUAGUUAGGGUUAUGGAAGACUUGUAGUAUACAAUCUAUCACUCUGGGUUUUGAAUUCAUUAUGCAUUGAUUUGUUUACAUCAUACUCUCUUCGCUUAUCUUGAAUUCUCGUGGUUGCAAACAUAGAGGAUAUGCCUUAAAACGCAACUUGUUCGAAAGAAAGGUUGAUGUUCGGAAAAGAGAGUAGUGAUAAGAAAAUAGUAUUACCAACCCCUAUUUUAUAAGUUAAUACCUUAGCAAGAUUAACUACUUGGAGAUUUCAUAUUUUUUUUGGUGAACGCUUUUGAUUCGAGAGAACUAAAGUGAAUUAGUCCUUGAUGGUUGAGAAACACCAGGACUAUGUUAUUAAAUACAAUACAUUUCUCUGUAAGCUUGAUCCAUGUAUGAAUUCAUAAAGCCCAUAGUUAGUAAGUAUUGAAAACUACAAGGUGGACAUAACCCUAGCUUGCUAUUUCUCUGAAUUUGAAUACUACUACACAUAUUUCAUCUUGUUAAACUAAAACCAUUAAUUUGUGAACUGAAUCAAAUUUCCCCUAUUUAUUUUACGUAAACGAACUAUUAAAAGUCAACUAAUCUGCAUACAACUUAAUUAACACCAUAUUCCCAAUGGGAUUCUACCCCAACCUAGUUGGGUUAUAUUUGACAAUGACCGCUUACUCUCUCGUAAGAGAGGUGUAAUUUGGACGUAUCAUGGGCGAAGAAUGUGUAAAGAUUGAUGAUGUAUUAAUGGUAUUUGACGGUGAUACUAGUUGUGAUAGAUGAGUUAGUUGGUGGUAAGGAUUGACCCGACAGUGGUUGAUGGUGGUGACGGUGGAGAUAAUUAGAAAAAUGAAAGUGGUAUGUGAGGUAGCGUCCACCAGUAAUGCUUGGUAGUAGUUUUGGUUGUCAAUGGUGAUUGUGAUGGUAAAUGUGGUGGUGACUGGUGAUGGCAGAGAUGGUUAGUGGUGGUGACUGGUGAUUGUGGAUAGAAUGGUGAUGAAUAUUAUCCAUCACAAGAAUAUCUUUUAAUAAUAUUAAGACUUGGUUUAUAUCUAAAUGACUCUGACCUAUCUAGACAUAUUAAAAGUUAAAAUCUUAAUAAAAACAAGCGCACUCAAUGGUUUGAGGUCUGAACCAUUCAGACCUCCAUUAAGUGCAAACAAAAGAAGCCUUAGAUUCUUUUGUCUAUACGAGAUGAAAUCAUGCAAUUUCGAUACAGAUUCUCAAUAAAUAAGUAAAAGUUCACAAUAAAGUAUCAUACAAUAUCACAAAGUUAUUCUAAAAUAGUACAACAUUUAUUGAUUAAAUUUUAGUUCAAUAAAAAAUAAAAUUGAACAUGAGUUGUAGUGUAGUAUUGUUUUUUAACUUAAUUCCGCACACAAUACAGACAAACUCCUCACAUUGAAUAUGCAUUCUCAAUUAGAUAACAGAGAUGGACCAAAAUUGUUACUUUGAUCCAUUUGUUGGUCAAUAUCAUCAAUAACUAAAUCAUCAUAGCUGUAUUUUAUGAUUUUUCAAGAAGGACAAGUAACCGUUUAAAAAUCGUCAAUUCAAUAACUCAAUGUUGAUAAAUCAAUAACAUUUUUUGAUUCGAUCUUUGCAUGACAAAUUACAUUUGAAUAAAAUGGUUGGUUGAUAUAGAAUGUUUUUUUUUUUUUACAAAUCAUAAACUUAUGUGUUGUUAUAAAUGUAUUUACAUUAUAGUGAAUGCCUAUCAAGAUCUAUUAAGAUCUACUUUGAUAUCUAUUAGGAUUUGAAGCAUCCGUCUUUUACUCAGACGAGGAGUAAAUUUCCCCUAUAAAUAGAGGGGUUUUAUUCAUUGUAUUGACAAUCUUAUGAUCUCUCAUCCUUCAAAGAGAAAAAAUAAGAAUAACUCUCUCUAUUCUCUCUACUCUUCUUCUUGUUCUUUCUUAUUUUAUAACACGUUAUCAACACGAAGUUGUAACCAAUUGAGUAAUAAUUGAGAUAAAGCCGCCCAAAAUGUGAUCUGUCAAUUGCUCAACAUGCUUGAGGUAUUAUUUUUCUUUUAAUAAUUCCUCAUGAGGUAUGAUUUCUUUUAUUAAAUAAUUCCUUUAUUUUGUUCCGAUAUGGCAAAGAGCAAUAGAUCCACGAUUGGGACAAUGCACUGUUUUAAUAUUUACAUUACUGCUACUUUGAAAGAAAAAAAAAACUAAUUAAUACUUCAUUGAAUAAUUUUGAUUUGAAAAGAAGAAAUAUAAAAGAGUUACAUGCAAAGGUCCAUGCAUAUCUAAAAUUGCGUGAUGCGGUAGAUUGAUUGAAAAUUUCUUCUCUCUGUCUGCGUAUGCUUUACACAUUUUAUAUAUUUUUAUAUUAUAUUAUUAUAUCAUAUCUAUUGACAUUAACUCUUCUAUAUAAUUCAAGGUCAGUAAUUUCUUAUGUUAUCUGUAUUUUGUUACUAAUAAUAUAAUUAUUGUUGGAUUUGAGGAAAAAUAAUUGGUUUGGAACCAUUUAUGUUUAAAAUUUAUUCCUCAAGAACAAUAUUGUCAAAAAAAUAAUAAUAUAUUGGGUUCAAGUCCCAUCGAUUCAUGCCUAAGACGUCUUUAUAUGGAUCAAAUAUUGAGUUUGAAUCUCAAUACACCAUAUUGAUGAUAGUGUGAUGGACAAGGCAAAAUGAUGGGUGUUUGAUGAAAAGUCAUGAAAUUCGACCCAUUGAAUAUGCUCCAUUCCAUGAAGUGAAGGUGGUAGCAAUACAUGAUAAGUCUGAAGUAUGACAACUCACUUCCGAAUGAGGAAGAAUAAUUGAUUGAUUGUGAUGGUAUCACAACUCACCUCCGAAUGAGGAAGAAUAACUGAGAAUUGAUUGUGAUGGUGUCACAACUCACCUCCGAAUGAGGAAGAAUAAUUGAGAAAAAUUAUUUUGAAAUCUACUUCUAAAGUAGUAAAUCUGAAAUUUAUUCAUAUAAUAGUAAAUCUGAAAUUUACUAAAGCAAAAACACAUAUCAUGGUAAACUUGGAGUUUACUAGAAUAAACGUUCAUAAAUUGACAUGAAUGAUUGCGAUAUCUCGAAGAUAUGCAUACUGAGUAUUGAACAUAUAUAGAAGAAUUAGAAAAUUCUUUAUGAACUUGCUUGUUCUCAUCAUAAGUUGGUUGAACCAACUAAUUUUGAUAUUGGAUCCCUCAAAAUCUGAAAAGUAUAAAAGGUGAAUAAGGGUCCGUUCACCUAUCAUGUGAUAUGUUGAAAAGAUGCAUCAAUAAGAUGAUCACAUGUGCCUUCAUGGUCAACCUACGUUUGAUAUUCAUAAAGUUACUUGUUCAAUAUAAAUUGAGUAUGGUUUUCAGAUUGUGUAAUCAAGAUAAUUCAUCUUGAUGAUGAUGGUUUAGCAUUGAAUGCCUUCCAUAAAUAGUUGAACCAUUACUAAUGAGAACAAAGUUUCCUGCAUUGGUGUGAAAUAUGAUAUAUUGCAUACAAUAACACUUGUAUGCAUUAGACCAAUAUAUUAUGAUUAUUUCUCCCCUCUCAAUUGGUUCAAGGUCAGGAACCAACUAUUCCAUCUAAUAGUUUUGAUGUGCGGUAUAUGAUUAAUAAAUAUACCAUGAUGCAUAAAGAUGGAUUCCUUAAAGAAGACGAAGGAUGUAUGUUAGUUUUCCUACCAUAAGGGGGAGAUUAUAAGCAGCUAUGAAAUAUGUUAGGAAUUAUCAUCAGAUCCUCAUUCAAAAGAUAAUUCAAGUCAAAUGUCGAAAGCAUCUCAUAUUUAGCUGCAAGUGCUCCUAUUUUAUGUCCUUAGAGGAUAAAGUCUAUGUAUGCAUGAAGUAUGAUAGACCAAUUGGUUCCAAAUGAAAUAAUCUUUGAAAAGGAUAUGGAGCAAAUAAUCAUAAUAAGAAGACAAUGAGCCCUUGAAGAGCCUACGAUAUAACACUUCAUGAAACCUUAUGAGAGGUUCAUGUACCUGAAAUAAUGAAGUAAUGAGAUCUCAAAAUGCUAUGUCGCAUUGUGAACCGAUACUAAGUGAUAUAUCAUCAAUAUAUUUGACACAAUAUUGGCGCAAUAUUGUGAAAGAUUACGAGGAUCUUAAUUCUACGUUAAUUUAAGUAUGCAGAUGUAGAAAUAUUUAUCAAGUGACAUGAAAGGAUGCAUCUUGGUAAGUAUUAAACUUAUUUGAUUUGCAAUCCAAAUAUUUGAAGACGUCACUCAUGAAAUGUUGAAUAUUGUCACUUGAUAAAACUUAUGUGAAAAACUUCUUCAAGGAUUCAAAAUAUAAAAGUUUUUGGGAAACUUAUUGAUAAUCCUUAUAUUGUAUAAGCUUAUAGCUUGAAAAUUAUUGAAAUUCUUGGAGAGUUUUCAAAAGCAAUAAGAUUAUUUGCUGAAAUAAGAAAUAUACCAAUUUGGAUUGGUUAUGAAGUACCAUAUAUUAGUACAAUUGAUGCACUUAUGUAUCUUGUAAUACUACAAGACCCAAUAUAGCCUUUUGCUCAAUUUGUUAGCAAGGUAUAUUUCUACUCCUACUAGGAGACAUUGAAAUGGGAUAAGAUACAUGAGUUUAUUUUAUUCUAAAGAUUGCAGUCUCAAUCUUAUUGGUCAUGCUGAUAUUGGGUACUUAUCUGACCCGCAUAAAGCUCGGUCUCAAAUAGGCUAUGUGUUCAUAUGUGGUGGUACUGCAAUAUCUUGGAGAUAUACAAAGCAGUCUAUCAUAGUCACUUCAUUGAAUCAUGCUGAGAUAAUAGCUAUUCAUGAAGCAAGCCGAGAAUGUGUAUGGUUGAGGUCCAUGAUACAUCUCAUUCAAGAAAAAUGUGGUGUGAAAUAUGACAAUCUACCCACAAUUUUAUACAGAGAUAAUUCAGCAUACAUAGCACAUCUUAAGGGAGGAUUCAUAAAUGGAGAUAAAACAAAGCACAUUUUGUCAAAGCUUAUCUACAUACAUGAGCUACAAAAGAAUGAUGAUAUUAACGUGCAACGGAUUCGGUCAACUGUCAAUGUGACUAUUUAUUCACCAAAUCUUCUCCAAUUGCAACUUUUCAGAAGAUGCUGCACAAGAUCGAGAUGUAAAGGUCAAGGAUGUUCUCAUCAGGGGGAGUUAAUAUGCGCUGUACUCUUUUUCCCUUAUGAGGUUUUGUCCCAUUGGGUUUUCCUUGUAAGAUUUUUAAUGAGGCAGCCGAAAUACGUAUUAUUAGAGAUGUGUACUCUUUUUUCCUCACUAGAUUUUUUUCCUACUUGGUAUUUUCUAGUAAGGUUUUAACGAGGCACAUUAUUUACCAAUUAGACAUUCAAAGGGGAGUGUUAUAAAUGUAUUUACAUUAUAGUGAAUGUCUAUCAAGAUCUAUCAAGAUCUACUUUGAUAUCUAUUAAGAUUUAAAACAUCUGUCUUUUACUCAGACGAAGAGUAAAUUUUCCCUAUAAAUAGAGGAAUUUUGUUCACUGUAUUGAUAAUCUUAUGAUCUCUCAUCCUUCAAAAAGAAGAAAUAAGAAUAACUCUCUCUAUUCUCUCUACUCUUCUUCUUGUUCUUUCUUGUUUUAUAACAUGUGUCAAAUUUUAAAUUUUUAAAAUUUGAUAUCAUGAUAUAAAAUUUCAUUUUUUUCUGAGAGUUUUGGUAUUUUUGGUCUAAUGAUUUGAAAUUAUGAGAUAAAAUCGCAUGUCUAAAUGCUGAUUUUAUCUCAUGAUUUCAAGUCACGAGAUGAAAUCAUAUUUCUAAAGGCACAUAUGUUUUAAGAAGAAAUUUAAAAAUCUUGCAAUAUAUGUAUAAAAAUAUUUAUAAAAAAAACUAAUAUCAUUCAUGUAUUCAAAUUAUGAAAUUUAUUCAUAUAAUUUAUUUGUUCAAUAUCCUUCUUUCAUUUUCAGCUAAAUCAAAAUCUAAACGAAACCAAAUAUUGUUAGAUUUUUAAAAUUUUAAACCAAACAACAAAUGUCCCCUUUAAAAAAAAAAAUCAUUUGGUUUGAUUUUUGAUUGUAGCAAAAAGAUGUAUCCUAAAAUGACUAAACGACGUCGUACAUAUAUUUCCAGCGUUUAAUUUAGGCGGGGCAAUUGGCGCGGAUCCAAUUUGCGUUUGUUUAACGGUAGGGUUCUCACUCUUCUUCUCCGUAGAAAGGUAAUCUCAUUGUCCCCUAUAAUAUUCGCAAUUAAGCACACUAAUCAGAUCGAUGGAGUAUUAUUUAGAACUAAUGCUAUUGGUAAAUUCCAUCUUAAAUUAAAAAAUAUUGAUCAAUUAGUAGUGUUAGGGAAAUUUGAACACCUAAUAUUACUUGGCGAUAAUUGGGUGAUUAUGAAAGUAAAAUGUCUAGUUUGAAAAUCUUUUAUUUAUUCAUAUUCUUGAUUGAAUUUAGAGAAUAAUUAGAUUAUCAGUGUUAUUUUAAGUGAUUGCAGCAUGAAAAUUACUACUCCAUCCGUUCAGUUUUAAUUGUCAUGUUUGGCUUCUCGAAAGUCAAAAUUGUAUGAACUUUGACCAAUUUAUUUUCUCAUUAUAUUAAUAUAGUUUUUGAAUAUCUUUAAAUUUUAAAAUAUUGAAUUAACCUAAUUCAAUUUAGCUCCGAAGAUUAAUCAAAUUGGCUCUCUUGAAGCAAUAUGUGAAGAGUAAAAUUGAAUGGAGGAAGUACUGUGUUUUUUAUACCUAAACGUCAAUGUAGCUGUAUGUGAGUUUUUUUCACUAACUUCAGAAGUUUACAAUUUGCUUGAUUUCACUUCAAUGUGGAAUCUCUGAUUUUUUCUGUGUAUGUGUAGUCUUAGCCGCAUUGUUGUUGAAGCAAUUAUUAGAGCGAAAUUAAAUGGACCCAGACCAAGUUGUUGCUGAAUUGGUUGGAAUGGGAUUUGAGUUAUCUGAUAUUACAAAUGCUAUAGAAGUUGUGGGUCCAUCAAUUGAUGCUGCCAUUGAUUAUCUACUCGAUGAUUCUCGAAGAGACACUGCGAGUGCAUCAACUAGUAAUUCACGUUUCACCAGUCAUGCCGGUCCUCUGGGAAAAAGAGGCCCCAAUUCUACAUCGCGUGCUGCAGGCAAAAUACGACAAUCAAGCAUAAAUGAAUUCGUUGAAUCAGCUGGUAGACCUAAAAGAAGCAAGACAAUGAAUAAGUUGGAUCUGUCUCAAUCAGAAGUCCUGCAAAGAGAUACCAAAGAUCGAAAUGUGCAUCCUCCUAUAGAGGAUUCUGAUCUCCGCAUUGCAACUGAAAAGGCUGUAUUAUCAUCUUAUAGCAAAGAUGAAGAUGUUGGACCAGAUUGGCAAAAGAAGGUUGAGAAUUUGUUGCAGAAGCACUUUGGAUUUUCAUUGUUGAAGGAUUUUCAGAAAGAAGCUCUGGAAGCUUGGUUAUCUCACCGUGACUGUCUUGUUCUUGCAGCAACAGGAUCAGGUAUUAGCCUUUCAUACUUUUCCUUCGCCAUUCUCCCUCUUCCUGUAAAAUACGAUUUUUCGGUGUCUCAGAGUUAUGUUUCUGUAGGGCAAUCUUUGUGUUUUCAGAUUCCUGCAUUGCUGACCGGGAAGGUUGUCAUUGUUAUAUCACCUUUGAUUAGCUUGAUGCAUGAUCAGUGCUUGAAGUUAGCAAAUCAUGGUGUUUCUGCUUGCUUCCUUGGAUCUGGUCAAACUGAUCGAAGUGUUGAACAAAAAGCAAUGUCAGGCAUGUAUAGCAUCAUUUAUGUAUGCCCUGAGACAAUUUUAAGGUAUUGAGCAUGUACUCUUGAAUGGUACUUCAAGGAUAGUGUUGGCUGUUAUUGACAAAUGAGUUCCUGACUUUGUUUUUUUCCAGACUCAUUAAACCCCUCCGAAGCCUCGCAGAAAGUCGUGGAAUUGCUCUAUUUGCAAUCGAUGAAGUUCAUUGUGUUUCGAAGUGGGGUCAUGAUUUUCGGCCAGAUUACAGGUUUAUGUUCUUUUGGUUAUCUCUCAAAAGUGUAACCUAACGGCUCUCAUCUCUCUCUAACGGCUCUCUCUCUUCCUCCCUACCCCCUCUCUCGCUAGCUCCGGUCACCGGCCCCCGUCGUCGUCGCCGACCCGACCCAACCUCCGGGCCCGACCUCCGGCGNNNNNNNNNNNNNNNNNNNNNNNNNNNNNNNNNNNNNNNNNNNNNNNNNNNNNNNNNNNNNNNNNNNNNNNNNNNNNNNNNNNNNNNNNNNNNNNNNNNNNNNNNNNNNNNNNNNNNNNNNNNNNNNNNNNNNNNNNNNNNNNNNNNNNNNNNNNNNNNNNNNNNNNNNNNNNNNNNNNNNNNNNNNNNNNNNNNNNNNNNNNNNNNNNNNNNNNNNNNNNNNNNNNNNNNNNNNNNNNNNNNNNNNNNNNNNNNNNNNNNNNNNNNNNNNNNNNNNNNNNNNNNNNNNNNNNNNNNNNNNNNNNNNNNNNNNNNNNNNNNNNNNNNNNNNNNNNNNNNNNNNNNNNNNNNNNNNNNNNNNNNNNNNNNNNNNNNNNNNNNNNNNNNNNNNNNNNNNNNNNNNNNNNNNNNNNNNNNNNNNNNNNNNNNNNNNNNNNNNNNNNNNNNNNNNNNNNNNNNNNNNNNNNNNNNNNNNNNNNNNNNNNNNNNNNNNNNNNNNNNNNNNNNNNNNNNNNNNNNNNNNNNNNNNNNNNNNNNNNNNNNNNNNNNNNNNNNNNNNNNNNNNNNNNNNNNNNNNNNNNNNNNNNNNNNNNNNNNNNNNNNNNNNNNNNNNNNNNNNNNNNNNNNNNNNNNNNNNNNNNNNNNNNNNNNNNNNNNNNNNNNNNNNNNNNNNNNNNNNNNNNNNNNNNNNNNNNNNNNNNNNNNNNNNNNNNNNNNNNNNNNNNNNNNNNNNNNNNNNNNNNNNNNNNNNNNNNNNNNNNNNNNNNNNNNNNNNNNNNNNNNNNNNNNNNNNNNNNNNNNNNNNNNNNNNNNNNNNNNNNNNNNNNNNNNAGUGGGGGGCGCGUGGAUAGCGACGGUAGGCUGAGGGUUGGGUCUUGGAAUAUAGGGACCCUUCAGGGGAAGUCCAUAGAGCUGGUGAAGAUUCUUAGGAAGAGAAGGAUCAACCUUGCGUGUGUCCAAGAGACCAAGUGGGUAGGGUCUAAGGCUAGGGAUGUGGACGGUUACAAGCUGUGGUACUCUGGGAGCGACAGGCGUAGGAAUGGAGUUGGCAUCUUGGUAGAUGAAGAGCUUAGAGGUCAGGUAGUGGAGGUGAAGAGGAUCAACGAUAGGUUGAUGACUAUCAAGUUGGUCAUUCGGGGGUUUACCCUGAACGUGUGUAGUGCCUAUGCGCCGCAUGUGGGAUCGGAGGGGGAGGAGAAGAUGCGGUUCUGGGAGGCCUUGGAGGACGUGGUGAGAGGCGUGCCCAGUUCGGAGAAGAUUGUGGUAGCAGGGGAUUUCAACGGGCACAUCGGGGCGCUACCGGGAGGCUUUGGGGAUGUGCAUGGAGGUUUUGGUUUUGGGGAGAGAAAUGAAGAGGGGGCGACCCUAUUGGAGUUUGCGAGGGCGUUUGGGCUGGUGGUGGUGAACUCGGGCUUCCCGAAGAAGGACGACCACCUGAUCACUUUUCGGAGCGCGGUAGCCAGGACCCAGAUUGACUUCUUGUUGCUUAGGAAAGGGGAUAGGGCGCUGUGUAAAGAUUGUAAAGUCAUCCCGAGUGAGAACCUUUCGACCCAACAUAGGCUCUUGGUUAUGGAUUUGGGUAUGAAGAAGAAUAAAAAGAGGAGGAGUAAGGAGUGUAGACCGAGAAUUAAGUGGGGCGGUUUGACGCCAGUGAAUGCGUGGGAGAUAGGGGAGAGGUUGGCGGGAAUGGGGGUGUGGGAGUGUAGGGGGGACGUGGAUAAUAUGUGGGACAGGGCGGCAGCGUGCAUCAGGGAAAAUGCAAGGGAGGUGUUGGGUGUUUCUAGGGGCCGGGCCGGACAUCAUCGGGGGGAUUGGUGGUGGAAUGAAGAGGUGGGGAAGAAAGUGGAGACCAAGAAAGAGUCGUAUGCUAAGUUGGUGGAAAGUAAGGACGAAGAGGAGAAGCGGGUAAACAGGAAAGAGUACAAGCUAGCGAGGAAGGAGGCGAAGUCAGCGGUCACGGCAGCUAAGACGGCUGCUUUUGAGAGCUUGUAUGCAGGGUUACAGGGGAAAGGAGGGGAGAAAAAGUUGUUCCGACUCGCUAAGGCUAGGGAGAGGAAGGGUCGUGACCUCGAUCAGGUGAGGUGCAUUAAGGGGGAGGACGGUAGAGUGUUGGUGGAGGACGGCCACAUUAAGAAGAGAUGGCAGUCAUACUUUCAUUGGCUCUUGAAUGACGAAGGAGAUAUAGCUAUUGUGUUAGGGGAACUGGAGCACUCAGAGGAGUGUCGGGAUUUUAGCUAUUGUAGACGUUUUAAGGUAGAAGAGGUUAGACAGGCUGUCCGCAGGAUGCGAAGGGGUAGGGCGACGGGGCCGGAUGAGAUACCGGUGGCGUUUUGGAAGUUCGUUGGAGAGGCUGGUGUAAGGUGGUUGACUGGAUUGUUUAAUGAAAUUUUCAGGACGGCAAAGAUGCCCGAGGCGUGGAGGUGGAGUACCAUGAUCCCUCUCUAUAAGAAUAAGGGGGACAUUCAGAGUUGUAAUAACUAUAGGAGGAUUAAGUUAUUGAGUCACUCGAUGAAAAUCUGGGAGAGAGUGAUCGAG
RNAcentral lists this long non-coding RNA (27960 nucleotides) under Capsicum annuum. Its description in RNAcentral is "long non-coding RNA (CANN_LNC013062)". Lineage: Eukaryota; Viridiplantae; Streptophyta; Magnoliopsida; Solanales; Solanaceae. The record is from RNAcentral.